GUGCUCACUUUGGCAGCACAUAUACUAAAAUUGGAAUGAUACAGAGAGGAUUAGCAUAGCCUCUGCUCAAGUAUGACAUGUGAAGUGUUCCAUAUUUUU
This is a small nuclear RNA of Oryctolagus cuniculus (rabbit), 99 nucleotides long. The record is from Ensembl. Lineage: Eukaryota; Metazoa; Chordata; Mammalia; Lagomorpha; Leporidae.